GACAGAGGAUGCAAGCGUUAUCCGGAAUGAUUGGGCGUAAAGCAUCUGUAGGUGGCUUUUCAAGUCCGCUGUCAAAUACCAGGGCUCAACCCUGGACAGGUGGUGGAAACUACCAAGCUGGAGUAUGGUAGGGGUAAAGGGAAUUUCCAGUGGAGCGGUGAAAUGCGUAGAGAUUGGAAAGAACACCGAUGGCGAAGGCACUUUACUGGGCUAUUACUAACACUCAGAGACGAAAGCUAGGGUAGCAAAUGGG
This 253-nucleotide ribosomal RNA is filed under the name uncultured bacterium. RNAcentral's name for it is "partial 16S ribosomal RNA". It matches the Rfam family "Bacterial small subunit ribosomal RNA", at positions 524 to 776 of the family's 1533-position model. The record is from RNAcentral.